This 496-nucleotide ribosomal RNA is filed under the name uncultured bacterium. RNAcentral describes it as "partial 16S ribosomal RNA". It matches the Rfam family "Bacterial small subunit ribosomal RNA", at positions 28 to 507 of the family's 1533-position model. The record is from RNAcentral.
GAUGAACGCUGGCGGCGUGCCAAUACCUGCAAGUCGAGCGAACGGACGAGAAGCUUGCUUCUCUGAUGUUAGCGGCGGACGGGUGAGUAACACGUGGAUAACCUACCUAUAAGACUGGGAUAACUUCGGGAAACCGGAGCUAAUACCGGAUAAUAUUUUGAACCGCAUGGUUCAAAAGUGAAAGACGGUCUUGCUGUCACUUAUAGAUGGAUCCGCGCUGCAUUAGCUAGUUGGUAAGGUAACGGCUUACCAAGGCAACGAUGCAUAGCCGACCUGAGAGGGUGAUCGGCCACACUGGAACUGAGACACGGUCCAGACUCCUACGGGAGGCAGCAGUAGGGAAUCUUCCGCAAUGGGCGAAAGCCUGACGGAGCAACGCCGCGUGAGUGAUGAAGGUCUUCGGAUCGUAAAACUCUGUUAUUAGGGAAGAACAUAUGUGUAAGUAACUGUGCACAUCUUGACGGUACCUAAUCAGAAAGCCACGGCUAACUACGUG